Chinchilla lanigera (long-tailed chinchilla) is the source of this 2543-nucleotide long non-coding RNA. RefSeq lists it as uncharacterized. The transcript is spliced from 2 exons. NCBI's taxonomy places the organism in Eukaryota, Metazoa, Chordata, Mammalia, Rodentia, Chinchillidae. The record is from RefSeq and is a predicted model, not a curated record.
GGACCCUGUCUCAUGAAAAAAAAAUAAAAAUGGGCUGGGGAUGGAGCUCAGUGGGAAGGUCUUGGGUUCAAUCCUUGAUAUAAGGGUGUGUCGGGGGUGAGAUCUGACCAGGUUGAUUGCCCUGCCAGACAGGCCCUUUCCAUGGCCUCACGGCUCUCAGGCCUCCCCUGAAAAGCAGCCAGGAGACUCCCCAGUAAGCUCUCUAAGGGCAGCAUGCUUCAGGCUCAUGUGGGAGGUACCGCGGUGUACACUGUCAGGCCCCCUGGGUCCCUCACCUCUCUCCAGGGCGUGAGAAGCUGCUGCUCUCUGGCUGGUCCAGGGGUGUAGUGAUGAGUGAUUUCUGCAGCAACGACUUCUGGAGAAGAGCCAGUCCUGCUCAGGGGAGAGGUAAACAGAGGCAGGGUGUGAGCACGUGUAGCAGGGGUGUGCAUAACAGGAAGCACGAGGCACGGCCGAGGAGUACAGCUCUGGACGCGCUCGCUCCUUCUCCUGCCCCGGGGGGCUUUCUGCAUCAUCACCAACCUUCUUCAGGUCAGUUCCCCUUUUGGUUUUUGUUUUCGUUUUCUUUUGGUUGUUGAAUGAUCCUUGAAAUAUUUCCCUUUGUAGUUCGUGAGUAGCUGGACAUUCCCCCACGCCAAGGUCAGUCACUGCCAUCUAUGAAGUCGUGAGGGUGGCACCACCAGUGUGACCAGUGUUGAAACCCACAGGAGGGACAGGAGCUGGGACCCUUAAGGGUUCCGGAGAGCUCCCUGGCUAAAGAUACCUGCUGGGCACUGUUGACAAUCUCAUCAGAAGUGGUGCUGAGCAAGGGUGAAGGUCCCACCCAGAGAUCCUAUUUUAUACCUUUUCCUCUGUGUUUUGAUUCUGCUUAAUGUCUUUCUGCUUGUCUCAGUUCUGGAGCAGCUUCUGGAGGGCUUUGGGGAUCACUGCACUGGACGGAAUGGCCUCCCCGAAGCUGUCUGUUCUGAAUGGCCAGUUCCACUGUGAUCCUCAUGCCAUUUGAUCACUGCUUGGCUUGGUAAUGUCAUCAUCACCAACCUCUUUUGGAGACAGACCCAGGCCCGUCUUAGGGCCUAGGGCAGGCGUGACACCAGCUUCCUCACUGACGCGUCUCAAAAUACAGCUUUAAUCUUGUUGGGGUCAAGCUCGGGUGGCAUGGCAGGGGCGAUGGAUUCCUUGCCCUGACAUUCACCAUUUUGCUCCUCUACCCUUUCAGGGUCUUCUCUCAACACCCAAGUCCACAGUCCUGGCUACUGGACACACCAAUCUGUCCAACAGGACCGCCUCUGAGCUUCCGCACCGGCUGUGCCCUCUGUCUCUCUGCUGAGCUCGUGUGUCUUCAAGCGGAGACUCCCCGUUUGGAGCCCAGCCUCUGUGCGGGGGGAAGGGGCACUGCAAUGGAUUGCAGGGCCUGUGACACAUCCCCUAACACAUGGUCAGCAUUCAGUCAAAGGUCCUGAGUGCCUGAAGUUCCUUCCUCACACUGGCCCACCAAGUGUAAAUUGCGUAGCAAAUUGGCCACUCCAUCAAGGGGGAUUUGUCAAGUUAUGGUAAGUACCCCAGGCUGGCUCUCCUUGGGUGGGGAAUUUUACCAACAGAUCUGGGAAGCGGAUGGAUCAAGCGUUUGGGCUGUGUCUCCACAGACUGUCAUCUUGGGAGGGCCAGCGGCAGACGCUUGGAGCUGGCUGGCAUCAGGGUGCAAUCUGGUAGCCGCGGAAGAAACUCUUGUCCUUGGAGGGUCUGAAAGCCCACAGACACCUGCUUGGCUUGGCUCGCCUUGGCUAGUAGCGUUUCCAGCAGAGACGAGCGGGAAAUGGAAGGGUGAUUGAGAGCUGGCGGUGAUGGGGAAGAAAGGAUCUACAGUGCAGAAAUGAGAUAUUUAUGAUCCCCUAUCUGUAAAUGCAUAAGUUCCGGCCUUCGAUCAUGUUGUUGGUGAACAUAAUCAAACUUUGGCAGUGCUGCCUGAAGCCCUUCAGUGGAGAAGAUAAGGGUAGAAUAAACGUGACAGAAGGGAUGAUUCAAAGGGGCCAAUGGCCGGGGAGCAAAGAUGGACCCUACAAUGCGACAAAGGAUGUGAGGGGUCAGGAUGUGAGAAGAAAAGCCAUUGCUGGGGAUGGCAAGGCACGGGGGGCUUCCAGGCUUAGGAACUACGGUAGCAGUUCUCUGGCCCUUUCCAUGACAGUGCUCCUGGCCUGCUGCCCUGACUGCGGAUUCAGGAGACCAAGAAUCAAGCACAAGGGCAAAAGGACUUUGCAGCAGAAACGCCCCAUGGAGACUUACUUCCACCAACAGAGCUGCAGCGGGCAGCCCUGCCACUCCUCUCAGCCUCAUAACCAUGACGUUCUCACUCAAAGGCUGUCCAUCUGUCCUGCCAUCCCGCCAAGCCCUGGAGCCCCACGCUGACUUCCCUUGGAAGAGCCCCAGUUCCCAGGGUGACCUCAGCAACAGCAGGGCCCACGGACAGCUCCUGUCCUGAACUUCCUGUCACUAGGAAGGGUCUGCCUGGCCUAUGGAAGUUAUAAUAACACAGUCUCUGUUUCUGA